Molecule: ribosomal RNA, 468 nt
Filed under: uncultured bacterium
Lineage: Bacteria
Description: partial 16S ribosomal RNA
Rfam family: Bacterial small subunit ribosomal RNA
Source: RNAcentral
GACGAACGCUGGCGGCGUGCUUAACACAUGCAAGUCGAACGGAAAGGCCCUGCUUUUGUGGGGUGCUCGAGUGGCGAACGGGUGAGUAACACGUGAGUAACCUGCCCUUGACUUUGGGAUAACUUAAGGAAACUGGGGCUAAUACCGGAUAGGAGCUCCUGCUGCAUGGUGGGGGUUGGAAAGUUUCGGCGGGUGGGGAUGGACUCGCGGCUUAUCAGCUUGUUGGUGGGGUAGUGGCUGACCAAGGCUUUGACGGGUAGCCGGCCUGAGAGGGUGACCGGCCACAAUGGGACUGAGAUACGGCCCAGAGUCCUACGGGGGGCAGCAGGGGGGAAUAUUGCACAAUGGGCGGAAGCCGGAUGCAGCAACGCCGCGUGCGGGAUGACGGCCUUCGGGUUGUAAACCGCUGUCGCCUGUGACGAAGCGUGAGUGACGGUAAUGGGUAAAGAAGCACCGGCUAACUACGUG